RNAcentral lists this ribosomal RNA (448 nucleotides) under uncultured bacterium. RNAcentral describes it as "bacterial SSU rRNA". It matches the Rfam family "Bacterial small subunit ribosomal RNA", at positions 355 to 825 of the family's 1533-position model. The record is from RNAcentral.
UGGGGAAUUUUGGGCAAUGGGCGAAAGCCCGACCCAGCAACGCCGCGUGAAGGAUGAAGUAUUUCGGUAUGUAAACUUCGAAAGAAUAGGAAGAAUAAAUGACGGUACUAUUUAUAAGGUCCGGCUAACUACGUGCCAGCAGCCGCGGUAAUACGUAGGGACCAAGCGUUGUUCGGAUUUACUGGGCGUAAAGGGCGCGUAGGCGGCAUGACAAGUCACUUGUGAAAUCUCUGGGCUUAACCCAGAACGGCCAAGUGAUACUGUCGCGCUAGAGUGCAGAAGGGGCAAUCGGAAUUCUUGGUGUAGCGGUGAAAUGCGUAGAUAUCAAGAGGAACACCUGAGGUGAAGACGGGUUGCUGGGCUGACACUGACGCUGAGGCGCGAAAGCCAGGGGAGCAAACGGGGAUUAGAUACCCUGGUAGUCCCUGAGCGGGCUGGCAAGGCGCAU